AUUGAACGCUGGCGGCAGGCCUAACACAUGCAAGUCGAACGGAUGGAGGACGGGUGAGUAAUGUCUGGGAAACUGCAUGAUGGAGGGGGAUAACUACUGGAAACGGUAGAUAAUACCGCAUACAAUCGGAUGUGGUCAGCUGGGAUUAGGUAGGAGGGGGGGUAAAGGCUCACCUAGGCGAAGCUGCCUAGCUGGUAUGAGAGGAUGAGCCGCCACACUGGAACUGAGACACGGUCCAGACGCCUACGUGAGGCAGCAGUGGGGAAUAUUGCACAAUGGGCGCAAGCCUGCUGCAGCCAUGCCGCGUGUAUGAAGAAGGCCUUCGGGUUGUAAAGUACUUUCAGCGGGGAGGCGUUACCCGCAGAAGAAGCACCGGCUAACUCCGUGCCAGCAGCCGCGGUAAUUC
This 406-nucleotide ribosomal RNA is filed under the name uncultured bacterium. RNAcentral describes it as "partial 16S ribosomal RNA". It matches the Rfam family "Bacterial small subunit ribosomal RNA", at positions 30 to 526 of the family's 1533-position model. The record is from RNAcentral.